GUGGACGGAGGGGCCGGAAGCCCGGAGCUGCUGCCUCUUGUAGGGCCACGUAAGAGGAGGGAUGAGGGUGAACGGCAUCUGCUGCCCAGGCGGGAUCCGGCACAGCCCCGCACACGCACUGCUGCUGCUGAGGGAGCUCUGGUGAUCGCGGAGGAUCAAAAUCGGGACCUAGUCCCAAGGCCGUCGCGUUUAGAUCACCCUGUCCUGGUCGUUGUGACCGCGAGAGGCGCAGGCUCUCCUGUCUUAUGUUACCUGCCGGCCCAGGCUGCCUGCCAGGCUCGUUUCCGUGGUUGUUUUUGAGGCACUGACCGGAGACCGCGGUGAGAAAUGGGCUGGAUGCGAUGCUCCUGGCGCCACAGGGGUUCCCACCCUCGGGCAUCGCCCAGAGCCAGAUGCGAGGUGCCAGCCUGGGGCAUGGCCUCGGCCGAGGCAGCAGCAGCCUGAUGCGAUGUGCUGAAUCCAUCCAAAAUGACUCAUUUUCUGACGGUAGCAGGCGAUGAGUAGCUGUGACUGUCGCCCGGCUGGGUUUCUGCGAUGGGAGAGGGCUGGCGGGAUCCUGGCAGAGAGGCAGCCCUUUCCUAGGGCCGCGCUUCCCUCUGGUGGAAGGCCGUAAAGACACAGUCCUUUCCCGGCUGACGCCUUCCGCGGGGAGAUUUAAUUUAAUGGGAGCAGCGAAGCAACCCCCAAGCCCGGAGAGGGCCCAUCAGUCCUUGGGUUUUCGCGUGCGCGAAGAGAAAUGGCCAAGCGUUAGGCAAUAAAAAUGUGAAGUGGCAUCUUGCCUGCGGUGCUUUAGUGCCCUUGUGAAGCGCCGGAGACUGCUCUGCCCCCGGGGAAAGGCAGGACAAGAGCCGGUGACGGGGAGCAGCAGCCGGCCGCGUUCGGAUGAGAUAUUAUGUCCGUUCGAAUGAGAAAUACAGCGGGGGAGAGGAGCCAGCGCAGGUGCGGAGCCCUGCAGCUUUGCAGCCCGGCGCCUUGGAGCUCGGUGUUACCCGCAGCCGUUGUUCCGGUGCAGCGUGGCCCAGACCAGGCCUGCGGGGCCGCAACCACAUCCGCCUCGAGCCCCAUCCCCGCGGGAGGCGGCAGCACGGAGCCGGGCUCGGAUGCACCCAGGGAAGAGCCGCACGGACCGGCCAGCCGGCCGCAUCCCCGUCCCGCACGCUCCUCUCGGACGCGGUACGUGCAGCCGAGCCGCGGCGUCUCUUGGACCCCGUCCCUCUUGCCGCCAGAUGGCAGGGCUGGCCCUGCGAUGGCAGGGGACGUGGGG
This 1264-nucleotide long non-coding RNA is filed under the name Apteryx owenii (little spotted kiwi). RNAcentral describes it as "lncRNA (ENSAOWG00000002501.1)". Lineage: Eukaryota; Metazoa; Chordata; Aves; Apterygiformes; Apterygidae. The record is from RNAcentral.